AGCAGCCGCGGUAAUUUCAGCUCCAAUAGCGUAUAUUAAAGUUGUUGCAGUUAAAAAGCUCGUAGUUGAAUUUCGGGAUUAGUAGGUUGGUCGUGCCUCUGGUAUGUACUCGCCUUACUGAUUCCUCCUUCUUGAAGAACUGUAAUGCCAUUAAUUUGGUGUUGCAGGGACUCAGGACUGUUACUUUGAAAAAAUUAGAGUGUUUAAAGCAGGCCACUGCCUGAAUACAUUAGCAUGGAAUAAUGAAAUAGGACGUUGAUCCUAUUUUGUUGGUUUCUAGGAUUGACGUAAUGAUUAAUAGGGAUAGUUGGGGGCAUUAGUAUUCAAUUGUCAGAGGUGAAAUUCUUGGAUUUAUUGAAGACUAACUACUGCGAAAGCAUUUGCCAAGGAUGUUUUCAUUAAUCAAGAACGAAAGUUAGGGGAUCGAAGACGAUCAGAUACCGUCGUAGUCUUAACCAUAAACUAUGCCGACUAGGGAUCGGAUGAUGUUAAUUUUUUAAUGACUCAUUCGGCGCCUUACGG
This 522-nucleotide ribosomal RNA is filed under the name uncultured Glomus. RNAcentral describes it as "SSU rRNA". It matches the Rfam family "Eukaryotic small subunit ribosomal RNA", at positions 569 to 1093 of the family's 1831-position model. The record is from RNAcentral. Lineage: Eukaryota; Fungi; Glomeromycota; Glomeromycetes; Glomerales; Glomeraceae.